Non-coding RNA from Paramuricea clavata, 95 nucleotides. NCBI's taxonomy places the organism in Eukaryota, Metazoa, Cnidaria, Anthozoa, Malacalcyonacea, Plexauridae. The record is from the annotation of a GenBank genome assembly.
UUGUAUUGCAUGCGGAAAUUGCUACCAUUUUCGGCCCAAACACAUUUGGGCCGAAAAUGGUAGCAAUUUCCGCACGCAAUACAAAAGUAUACAAA